UGCUGCUGAUUGGUUCGGGCAGCCACAUAUUGAACUAAAGCUCCACCUUGUACCUUUCUCUCAAUGAACUCUUUUAAACUGGCACAAUCGUUCGUCUCGUGUCCCGACGCUUGGUGGUAGUCGCGAUACUUGCGGGGAUUUCCCUUUCCGGGCUUGAUGUUAUCUCGUGGUGGCUCAAAAAUAGGUUGAUUUCUAAUCUGAUCUAAGAUAACAGCCUUAUCGGCGUUGAGCGCCGUGAAAGUCCUGUUUACUCUCUGGGGUGGAGCGGACGAACGUCCUCCACCCUGCCUCCAAUUGUUAUACCUUCUCGACCCGCCUUCAUGACGGUCUUUGUGUCCUUCACUCUUUUUCUG
This 353-nucleotide long non-coding RNA is filed under the name Panax ginseng (ginseng). RNAcentral describes it as "long non-coding RNA (PGIN_LNC017759)". The record is from RNAcentral. Lineage: Eukaryota; Viridiplantae; Streptophyta; Magnoliopsida; Apiales; Araliaceae.